GAUGAACGCUGGCGGCGUGCCUAAUACAUGCAAGUAGAACGCUGAAGGAAGGAGCUUGCUCUUUCCGGAUGAGUUGCGAACGGGUGAGUAACGCGUAGGUAACCUGCCUGGUAGCGGGGGAUAACUAUUGGAAACGAUAGCUAAUACCGCAUAACAGUAGAUGUUGCAUGAUAUCUACUUAAAAGGUGCAAUUGCACCACUACCAGAUGGACCUGCGUUGUAUUAGCUAGUUGGUGAGGUAACGGCCCACCAAGGCGACGAUACAUAGCCGACCUGAGAGGGUGUCCGCCCCAACUGGAAUUGGACACGGCCCAAACUUCUACGGGAAGGCGCAGGAGGGAAACCUUGGCCAUGGACGGAAGGCUGAACCAGCAACGCCGCGGUAGGGGAGAAGGUUGUCGGAUCGUAAAGCUCUGUUGUUAGGGGAGAACGGGUGUGAGAGUUGAAAGUUCACACUGUGACGGUAUCUUAACAAAAAGGGACGGCUAACUACGUG
RNAcentral lists this ribosomal RNA (496 nucleotides) under uncultured bacterium. RNAcentral's name for it is "partial 16S ribosomal RNA". It matches the Rfam family "Bacterial small subunit ribosomal RNA", at positions 28 to 507 of the family's 1533-position model. The record is from RNAcentral.